UGAGGAAUAUUGGUCAAUGGACGCAAGUCUGAACCAGCCAUGUCGCGUGCAGGAAGACUGCCCUAUGGGUUGUAAACUGCUUUUGUACGGGAAGAAAAUCAGCUACGUGUAGUUGUUUGCCGGUACCGUACGAAUAAGGAUCGGCUAACUCCGUGCCAGCAGCCGCGGUAAUACGGAGGAUCCGAGCGUUAUCCGGAUUUAUUGGGUUUAAAGGGUGCGUAGGCGGACUGGUAAGUCAGUGGUGAAAUCCUGCAGCUUAACUGUAGAAUUGCCGUUGAUACUGUUAGUCUUGAGUACAUUUGAGGUAGGCGGAAUGUGGUGUGUAGCGGUGAAAUGCAUAGAUAUACCACAGAACACCGAUUGCGAAGGCAGCUUACUAAACUGUAACUGACGCUGAGGCACGAAAGCGUGGGUAUCAAACAGG
Molecule: ribosomal RNA, 424 nt
Filed under: uncultured bacterium
Lineage: Bacteria
Description: bacterial SSU rRNA
Rfam family: Bacterial small subunit ribosomal RNA
Source: RNAcentral